Long non-coding RNA from Myotis lucifugus (little brown bat), 477 nucleotides. RefSeq lists it as uncharacterized. Lineage: Eukaryota; Metazoa; Chordata; Mammalia; Chiroptera; Vespertilionidae. The transcript is spliced from 4 exons. The record is from RefSeq and is a predicted model, not a curated record.
AGAGGCGGAUACCAGGAUUCCAAGAGCAGGGUUCUACUCUGAGAAUAAUUUGUAAUUAUGCAUUUAAUUACUAGCUUGACUAUUCUAUAUCCUCUCCAAUAGACUGUAAUACCUAAAAGGCAUAUGGAAGGUGCCCAAUACAAUGCACUAUGUAUUUGUUAAAGGAAUGAAUGAAACGCAACGUAUUUAGUGGAGGAAGACAUCUUUGAAUGUGGACUUCACCAUGUGUUAGGGUUUUCACAUUCCCAUCUCUUUCGGUAACAUACACCAGAAUCCUGGAACUUGGUGGCCUGAGGUCAGAUCCCAUCCCUACCUCUCACUAGCUCCAUCACAUGGUCUCCCUCCCGUCCCCUGAGAGCUUCCCACGCAGGGAACCAGAUACCUCGCAGCAGCCCCAUCUCCAGACCCCAGGAUUCCUGCAACGGUGGAUACCAUCUUAGCAACCACAGUAGCUGCUUGGCCGUGGGAAAUGCUCCC